CCUACGGGCGGCAGCAGUGAGGAAUAUUGGUCAAUGGGCGCGAGCCUGAACCAGCCAAGUAGCGUGAAGGAUGACUGCCCUACGGGUUGAAAACUUCUUUUAUAAGGGAAUAAAAUGAGGCACGUGUGCCUUUUUGUGUGUACUUUAUGAAUAAGGCAGGGCUAACUCCGUGCCGGAGGCCGCGGUAAUACGGAGGAUCCGAGCGUUGUCCUGAGUUAUUGGGUUUAAAGGGAGCGUAGAUGGGUUUUUAAGUCAGUUGUGAAAGUUUUCGGCUCAACCGUAAAAUUGCAAUUGAUACUGGCAGCCUUGAGUACAGUUGAGGUAGGCGGAAUUCGUGGUGUAGCGGUGAAAUGCUUAGAUAUCACGAAGAACUCCGAUUGCGAAGGCAGCCUACUAAACUGCCACUGACAUUGAUGCUCGAAAGUGUGGGUAUCAAACAGGAUUAGAUACCCUAGUAGUC
Molecule: ribosomal RNA, 460 nt
Filed under: uncultured bacterium
Lineage: Bacteria
Description: partial 16S ribosomal RNA
Rfam family: Bacterial small subunit ribosomal RNA
Source: RNAcentral